RNAcentral lists this transfer RNA (70 nucleotides) under Camelus dromedarius (Arabian camel). It matches the Rfam family "tRNA". Rfam says of the family: Transfer RNA (tRNA) molecules are approximately 80 nucleotides in length. Their secondary structure includes four short double-helical elements and three loops (D, anti-codon, and T loops). Lineage: Eukaryota; Metazoa; Chordata; Mammalia; Artiodactyla; Camelidae. RNAcentral also lists the same sequence under 1 other name. The record is from Rfam by way of RNAcentral.
GGGAACAGCUCAGUGGCAGCGGGCAUGCCUAGCAUGCAUGAGGUCCUGGGUUCAAUCCCCAGUGCUUCCA